RNAcentral lists this long non-coding RNA (234 nucleotides) under Homo sapiens (human). Its description in RNAcentral is "HSALNT0304929". The record is from RNAcentral. Lineage: Eukaryota; Metazoa; Chordata; Mammalia; Primates; Hominidae.
CCCCAGUGGGGUCCCUGAGCCGGAGCUCUGCCAACGAGGAACGUACUGCCAAGGUCCAGCAGCCAAGCUGGCUGUGGCCUGUGUGCCUCGCCCUGCCAGUCACCACUGCCCUGAGAGAGGCACCACCACGCCACGACCAUGCAGCACUGGCAGCUUCUCUGGUCCAGGUCAUCUCUGGUGCCAGGAGUGCUCAGGAGGAAAACUCUGCAACCAGACAAAGCUGCUUGGCCCUGG